AUACUUAGCUGGCAGGGGAGAUACCAUGAUCAAUACGGUGGCGCUCCCAGGAUGAGGCUAUCCCAUUGCACUUCGGGUGUGCUGACGCCUGUGAUGUCCCCAAAUGCGGGAUACUCGACUGCAAAAUUUGUGGUAGUGGGGGACUGCGUUUGUGCUCAAAAUUUGUG
Hemiscyllium ocellatum (epaulette shark) is the source of this 167-nucleotide small nuclear RNA. RefSeq annotates it as U1 spliceosomal RNA. The transcript has a single exon. The record is from RefSeq and is a predicted model, not a curated record. Lineage: Eukaryota; Metazoa; Chordata; Chondrichthyes; Orectolobiformes; Hemiscylliidae.